CUUGGUCAUUUAGAGGAAGUAAAAGUCGUAACAAGGUCUCCGUUGGUGAACCAGCGGAGGGAUCAUUACAGAGUUGCAAAACUCCCAACCAUUGUGAACCUACCUCACCGUUGCUUCGGCGGGCGGCUCCCUCGGGGGCCGCAACCCUCACGGGUGCCCGCCGGAGGACAUCAACUCUUUUGUUUUCUAGGCCUCUCUGAGUAAUUAUACAAAUAAGUUAAGACUUUCAACAACGGAUCUCUUGGUUCUGGCAUCGAUGAAGAACGCAGCGAAAUGCGAUAAGUAAUGUGAAUUGCAGAAUUCAGUGAAUCAUCGAAUCUUUGAACGCACAUUGCGCCCGCUAGUAUUCUGGCGGGCAUGCCUGUUCGAGCGUCAUUUCAACCAUCAAGCCCCAGGCUUGCGUUGGGUCCCUGCGGCUGCCCGCAGGCCCUGAAAUACAGUGGCGGGCUCGCUAGUCACUCCGAGCGCAGUAAUACAUCUCGCUCAGGGCGUGCUGCGGGUUCCGGCCGUUAAACCACCUUUUAACCCAAGGUUGACCUCGGAUCAGGUAGGAAGACCCGCUGAACUUAAGCAUAUCAAUAAGCGGAGGA
Molecule: ribosomal RNA, 590 nt
Filed under: uncultured fungus
Lineage: Eukaryota; Fungi
Description: eukaryotic LSU rRNA
Rfam family: 5.8S ribosomal RNA (bases 222-375)
Source: RNAcentral